Myotis daubentonii (Daubenton's bat) is the source of this 358-nucleotide long non-coding RNA. RefSeq lists it as uncharacterized. NCBI's taxonomy places the organism in Eukaryota, Metazoa, Chordata, Mammalia, Chiroptera, Vespertilionidae. The record is from RefSeq and is a predicted model, not a curated record.
CGUGGCACUGUGAGCUCACACAGGAAGGCCGUUCUGGAUUGUGCGAGCAACCAGAGUCCCACGACCCUCCUGCAGGGCAGGGCCACGGCUCUUCCGAUCCUUCAGAAUCUGACAAGGAGCAAGAUUUGACCAUGCUACUCCUGACUUCAACACUGGCUUCUCGCGGCUCCCAGGGAUGAAGUCCAAACCCUCAGCACGGCGCACAAGAUAUGAUGGCAGGUGUGGCAGCAGCCAUGCUGCAACCAUGAAGGAUUGGCCAAGAGAACUGCCGAGACGUCGGACCUGACAUCAGUGAGUCAUUGAUCCAACUCCAGCAACAACAUAUGACUGGACUUACUUUUGAGAGAAAUAAACUCAU